UUCUGUUCUCUUCUAGUCUUUUGGGUCAGCCUGCCCUCAUGCCUUGAGGAUGUAUUUUCCUUUGCUUGCCAAAUAAAACAGCUGUAACAUGGAGCUGUAACACUGGUCCGUCUGUCACUUCAAAUUUUUGCUGCAGCAAGACAGAACCAAGGAAAUUACUCAAUUCCCCAACAUAUAUGGUGCUGUUUCUAGGAUUUAUCCUGGCUUAAACAAUCUCGGCUCAGCCCCCACAAGGCAGAAGCCGAGCAUAGCAGAAGCCCAGCUCAGUGAAAGCUCCCACGGUGGAAGCUGAACAUGAAGAAAACCCAGCGCAGGGAAAGUGACAAGAAGCCCACCAUGCUGGAAACUGGGACAACAAAAACAACUCAGUGGAAAGUUCACGCAACUCAGUCUCAGAUUCCAGGAGGCCUCCGGUUAAGGUCAACAAGUUACAACAUGUAGUGCCAGUUCAACAAGGAUAUAUAAAACUACAGCCAACCAUGGAAAAUAUCACUCACCCUAAGAUGGACAGCACUAUAAGGACUAUGGGCUUGAGACUACCAAAAGGAGGAGGCCCAACGCCCCUUGCUGUCCAGUUCAGCAGGAAGUAGCCAGAGAGAUCUCAACACUCCUAUUCCCAAAGAAUUGGGCCUCCCAUCUGUUAAGUGGGGAAUGUCAGGUAGUUAGAACAGGAAAAAGGAGUCCAAAAUGGUGGUGGCUAAAAGACAAAAAAAGGGAAAAGUCCACAAAAACAGAACAAAAGGAAAUCCAAGGACAGGAGUGAGAACCUCGGGUGAAACAAACAGUCCUCCUGGCUAGCCCAAUUUACAUAGGGCAGACUCGGGGAGUGGGGAGACAAAUGUAUAAAAGGAGGAAGACAAGAGGAAUUGAGGCCUCUCCUUCGGGGUCAGCCUGCCCUCAUGCCUCAAGGGUGUACUAUUCUUUGCUUGCCAAACAAAACUCUGACUAGUAACUGAGCUGUUCCACUGGUCUGCCGUUUCAAAUCUUUGCUGCAGCGAGACAGAAUCAAGGAAAUUACACAUUCCCCUAACAAAUUGAAAUAAUAAAUACAAAAUGAACUAUGAAGAUAAAAGUUUGCUAAACUAUCAUUUUAUUAAUAGCAAAGGAAAAUACAGUUUUGUAGAUUCCACAGGUGGGCAAAAUUUCUCUAUAAAAUUUCCUAAAUAUAUUCUACUAAGAACUUUAUGAAAAGAUAAAAGUUAUCUUUUUGAAAAGAUA
Molecule: long non-coding RNA, 1218 nt
Organism: Bubalus bubalis (water buffalo)
Lineage: Eukaryota; Metazoa; Chordata; Mammalia; Artiodactyla; Bovidae
Exons: 2
Source: RefSeq, a predicted model, not a curated record